This 497-nucleotide ribosomal RNA is filed under the name uncultured bacterium. RNAcentral's name for it is "partial 16S ribosomal RNA". It matches the Rfam family "Bacterial small subunit ribosomal RNA", at positions 28 to 507 of the family's 1533-position model. The record is from RNAcentral.
GAUGAACGCUGGCGGCGUGCCUAAUACAUGCAAGUCGAGCGAACAGACGAGGAGCUUGCUCCUCUGACGUUAGCGGCGGACGGGUGAGUAACACGUGGAUAACCUACCUAUAAGACUGGGAUAACUUCGGGAAACCGGAGCUAAUACCGGAUAACAUGUUGAACCGCAUGGUUCAACAGUGAAAGACGGUCUUGCUGUCACUUAUAGAUGGAUCCGCGCCGCAUUAGCUAGUUGGUAAGGUAACGGCUUACCAAGGCAACGAUGCGUAGCCGACCUGAGAGGGUGAUCGGCCACACUGGAACUGAGACACGGUCCUGACUCCUACGGGAGGCAGCAGUAGGGAAUCUUCCGCAAUGGGCGAAAGCCUGACGGAGCAACGCCGCGUGAGUGAUGAAGGUCUUCGGAUCGUAAAACUCUGUUAUUAGGGAAGAACAAAUGUGUAAGUAACUAUGCACGUCUUGACGGUACCUAAUCAGAAAGCCACGGCUAACUACGUG